ACGGUAACAGGAAAGAGCUUGCUCUUUUGCUGACGAGUGGCGCACGGGUGCGUAACGCGUAUACAAUCUGCCUUCAAGCGGGGGAUAGCCCAUGGAAACGUGGAUUAAUACCCCAUGGUAUUAUGAUUUCACCUGGAAUUAUAAUUAAACAUUUAUGGCUUGAAGAUGAGUAUGCGUCCUAUUAGCUAGAUGGAGUGGUAACGGCACCCCAUGGCGACGAUAGGUAGGGGUCCUGAGAGGGAGAUCCCCCACACUGGUACUGAGACACGGACCAGACUCCUACGGGAGGCAGCAGUGAGGAAUAUUGGACAAUGGAGGCAACUCUGAUCCAGCCAUGCCGCGUGCAGGAAGACUGCCCUAUGGGUUGUAAACUGCUUUUAUACAGGAAGAAACCUUCUCACGUGUGGGGAGCUGACGGUACUGUAUGAAUAAGGAUCGGCUAACUCCGUGCCAGCAGCCGCGGUAAUACGGAGGAUCCAAGCGUUAUCCGGAAUCAUUGGGUUUAAAGGGUCCGUAGGCGGGUUUAUAAGUCAGUGGUGAAAGUCUGUCGCUUAACGAUAGAAUUGCCAUUGAUACUGUAGAUCUUGAAUUAUUAUGAAGUGGUUGGAAUGAGUAGUGUAGCGGUGAAAUGCAUAGAUAUUACUCAGAACACCUAUUGCGAAGGCAGAUCACUAAUAAUAUAUUGACGCUGAUGGACGAAAGCGUAGGUAGCGAACAGGAUUAGAUACCCUGGUAGUCUACGCUGUAAACGAUGGUCACUAGCUGUCCGGCCUAAUUGAGGGCUGGGUGGCCAAGCGAAAGUGAUAAGUGACCCACCUGGGGAGUACGUUCGCAAGAAUGAAACUCAAAGGAAUUGACGGGGGCCCGCACAAGCGGUGGAGCAUGUGGUUUAAUUCGAUGAUACGCGAGGAACCUUACCAGGGCUUAAAUGCAGUCUGACAGGAGUGGAAA
Molecule: ribosomal RNA, 951 nt
Filed under: Christiangramia sp.
Lineage: Bacteria; Pseudomonadati; Bacteroidota; Flavobacteriia; Flavobacteriales; Flavobacteriaceae
Description: bacterial SSU rRNA
Rfam family: Bacterial small subunit ribosomal RNA
Source: RNAcentral